This 254-nucleotide ribosomal RNA is filed under the name uncultured bacterium. RNAcentral's name for it is "partial 16S ribosomal RNA". It matches the Rfam family "Bacterial small subunit ribosomal RNA", at positions 524 to 776 of the family's 1533-position model. The record is from RNAcentral.
UACGUAGGGGGCGAGCGUUGUCCGGAUUUAUUGGGCGUAAAGAGCUCGUAGGCGGCUUAGCAAGUCGGGUGUGAAAACUCCAGGCUCAACCUGGAGACGCCACUCGAGACUGCUAUGGCUAGAGUCCGGUAGGGGACCACGGAAUUCCUGGUGUAGCGGCGAAAUGCGCAGAUAUCAGGAGGAACACCGGUGGCGAAGGCGGUGGUCUGGGCCGGCACUGACGCUGAGGAGCGAAAGCGUGGGGAGCAAACAGG